This 254-nucleotide ribosomal RNA is filed under the name uncultured bacterium. RNAcentral describes it as "partial 16S ribosomal RNA". It matches the Rfam family "Bacterial small subunit ribosomal RNA", at positions 524 to 776 of the family's 1533-position model. The record is from RNAcentral.
UACGUAGGUGGCUAGCGUUGUCCGGAUUUACUGGGCGUAAAGAGCGCGCAGGCGGUCGUUCAAGUCGAGUGUGAAAGCCCCCCGGCUCAACUGGGGAGGGUCACUCGAUACUGAUCGACUCGAAGGCAGGAGAGGGAAGCGGAAUUCCCGGUGUAGUGGUGAAAUGCGUAGAUAUCGGGAGGAACACCAGUGGCGAAGGCGGCUUUCUGGACCAAUACUGACACUGAAACGCGAAAGCCAGGGGAGCAAACGGG